This 253-nucleotide ribosomal RNA is filed under the name uncultured bacterium. RNAcentral's name for it is "partial 16S ribosomal RNA". It matches the Rfam family "Bacterial small subunit ribosomal RNA", at positions 524 to 776 of the family's 1533-position model. The record is from RNAcentral.
UACGGGGGGAGCAAACGUUGUUCGGAAUCACUGGGCGUAAAGGGCGUGUAGGCGGCUGAAUGAGUGGGAUGUUAAAUCCCCCGGCUCAACCGGGGAACUGCAUCUCAUACUGUUCAGCUUGGGUACAGCAGAGGAGACUGGAAUUCCCGGUGUAGCGGUGAAAUGCGUAGAUAUCAGGAGGAACACCGGUGGCGAAGGCGGCUUUCUGGACAGAUACCGACGCUGAGGCACGAAAGCUAGGGGAGCAAACAGG